RNAcentral lists this ribosomal RNA (402 nucleotides) under uncultured bacterium. Its description in RNAcentral is "bacterial SSU rRNA". It matches the Rfam family "Bacterial small subunit ribosomal RNA", at positions 355 to 774 of the family's 1533-position model. The record is from RNAcentral.
UGGGGAAUCUUGAACAAUGGGGGCAACCCUGAUGCAGCGACGCCGCGUGAGCGAUGAAGCCCUUCGGGGCGUAAAGCUCUUUCGACCGGAACGAUAAUGACGGUACCGGGAGAAGAAGCUGCGGCUAACUACGUGCCAGCAGCCGCGGUAAUACGUAGGCAGCAAGCGUUGUUCGGAGUUACUGGGCGUAAAGAGUGCGUAGGCGGUUUUCUAAGUUCGGUGUGAAAUCUCCCGGCUUAACUGGGAGGGUGCGCCGAAGACUGGGAAGCUGGAGUGUGGGAAAGGCAGGCGGAAUUCCUGGUGUAGCGGUGAAACGCGUAGAUAUCAGGAGGAACACCUGCGAUGUAGACGGCUUGCUAGACCAUAACUGACGCUGAGGCACGAAAGCGUGGGUAGCAAACA